This 508-nucleotide ribosomal RNA is filed under the name uncultured bacterium. RNAcentral's name for it is "partial 16S ribosomal RNA". It matches the Rfam family "Bacterial small subunit ribosomal RNA", at positions 30 to 523 of the family's 1533-position model. The record is from RNAcentral.
AUUGAACGCUGGCGGCAUGCCUUACACAUGCAAGUCGAACGGCAGCGGGGGAGAAGCUUGCUUUUCCUGCCGGCGAGUGGCGAACGGGUGAGUAAUACAUCGGAACGUGCCCUGUAGUGGGGGAUAACUAGUCGAAAGAUUAGCUAAUACCGCAUACAACCUGAGGGUGAAAGUGGGGGACCGCAAGGCCUCAUGCUAUAGGAGCGGCCGAUGUCUGAUUAGUUAGUUGGGGGGGUAAAGGCCUACCAAGGCGACGAUCAGUGGCUGGUCUGAGAGGACGAUCAGCCACACUGGGACUGAGACACGGCCCAGACUCCUACGGGAGGCAGCAGUGGGGAAUUUUGGACAAUGGGCGAAAGCCUGAUCCAGCAAUGCCGCGUGUGUGAAGAAGGCCUUCGGGUUGUAAAGCACUUUUGUCCGGAAAGAAAUGGCUCUGGUUAAUACCUGGGGUCGAUGACGGUACCGGAAGAAUAAGGACCGGCUAACUACGUGCCAGCCGCCGCGGUAA